UCCUCUGCUUUGGGCUGAGCAAACCCAGGAACCUCAGCCACUCCUCAUAGAUCUUGCUCUCCAGACCCUUUGCCAUCUUUGUAGCUCUCCUUUGGACACUCCGUCAUAGUUUGUCCUUCUUAUAUUGUUGCACCCAGAACUGCACCGAUUGCUCGAGGUGAGGCCGCACAGCACCAAUCAGAGGGGACAAUCUCUUCCCUCGCACAGAUCCAGCUUGCUGUCAGCCAGAACCUUCAGAUCCCUUUCUGCAGGGCUGCUCUCCAAAGAAGUAGAUAAUGUGGAAAUGGCAAGACCUUGUCACCACUUCUCAUUGCUCUUAUUCUUUCUGUAUGUGUGAUGGGGCAUGGUCUCAUGAUUUCUCUCCCCCAGAUGCCAUGUAACUUAAAUGAGCUAAAGUUAGUCCUUGCUGGGUACCAAUUUGCCAACCUAUGAAUUAUGCCAAGUUUUGUGAUGUGGUUGUGCAAUGUUGAGGAUCUCAAAGGAUUUCCUCCUACACAGCCCUGACCUUUCAAGAGUUUUUUGAAGAGAGAGAAAUUCAAUUUGAAUUCUUCAGCAUCCUAGAAUAAAAAAUCCAUCUUUCCCCACCAAAAGCACUGGAGGAUGAUGAAAGGAUCACUUAGGCUGAAACUCUUGGGCCAGUACUGAUUUUAAACUUACCUCCGGUCUUUGAUUGUUAUUGCCUGCAAAAUAGGGCCAAUGCGAUAGGACAUGGAGCAAUACAAUUGCUGAUUUAAAUAGCAUUACUCCACUGUUUUUUAGGGUCUGGCUUAAACUUGAAGUACUUAAAGGUGUUUUAAAAUCAGACACUCUUCUUUAUGCUCCUUUUUUUAUUCUCUGCCUCAUACACACCAUAUUUAAAGGUAUCUGACUUGUUAUAAUACGGAGAGAAAAUAUUAAUUCGUUAAGUCAAAUGUUCAUGAUUCCCAGAGAAGUCACCUGAAGAUCAUUUCUAAUGGUGAAUUCGCUGAGGUUCUUCUGGACAAAAUGUAUAACUGAAAAUCUGUGACACAGGAUUUGUGAUAAGAGGUGAGUCAUCCCCUUUCCCUCCUGUCACACUCCUGGAGUUAAACACCCGUCACAUGAGGGCUUGUUUUCCAUUGACUUCAUCAGCAGCUGCUGCAAAUCUCUGGGCCAAACUAUCCAGAAAAAAAUCCAGAGCAUUUCUAGGAGGGCUGUGAUAAGGCUCUGUGAUAAGGCAGGGGAUUAGAGGACCUUGCUCUUUUCUUGGAGAGCACCAGACAGCUCUUCAAAGUCAAGAGCACUGCACUGAUUAACACUGGUGCAACAGCCAGAGUGCCUUACAGGGGGAUUUUCCAUUUGAUUUAAACUAGGAAGGUAAACUAAUUACGUGAACGAAUGUUUCCGGCCAGGCAGUAUCAACCAUCUAAAUGCAUUUAGCCAAUGAACUAUUAAGUAUAGUAUAUCUUUAGCAUCACAGGAGACAGUAACUUACCCUGGUGGCAGCUAAUCACUGCUGCCUCGCUCUGCCUGCAGCCCUUUGGAGUUCCACCCACUCAUCAACAGGCCAUUCGCGCUCAGUCAUGCACGCAGCCAUCUCCAAAUAGACAUGGGCCUGCUAAUUACCACUUCUGCCCUCACUUAUGCUGCUGUUUGGAGUAAGAUUCAAUCCUAAAAUGGAUCUCAGCAGUACAAGAAGCCUGUCUCACACUCCCUCUCAUUUAAUGUGGUAACACCGAUUCUAAUCUACACUGAGGUUCAGCCAUUCAUUUGGUGCAGGCAGUAACCUUGUCUUUGUGAGCUCUGCUCACCGUAAUGUUACCGUCUGCACCACUGUUGCAUUAACAAUAAUUUCUAGUUUUAAAAAGACAAUGCAAAAAGGGUAUGGAUUUUUAUUAAGCAAUGAAGUGUCUUAUGAAAACAACUUGCACCUGCAGAGAUAGUCGUAGAAUCAUCAGACUGCUUGGAUUGGAAGGAAUUUCAAAGACCCUCUGGUUCCAACCCCUGUUCUGCAGGUAGAGUUGCCAACUUUUCAAAAAUUUACAUUAAAUUCUUAAAAUCUUAAAUUUGUAGGUAAGCCUUCUGGGAUGGCAUGAGGGAGAGAAGAUACAAUUUAUCAGAAGAGCUUUAAAUAAAAUCUUCCUUCUUAUAUUCAAGCAGCUCUCUUCUUCCCUCUCAGCCCAUGACCCAAGCCCUCUUUUCUCAGGGCUGAGAGGAAUUUUCUGAACUUUUUAUAGAAUCAUAGAAUCAUUAAGUCUGGAAAGGACCUCCAAGAUCAUCUAGUCCAACCAUCAAGCCACCACCACCCUGCCCACCAACUCAUGUGCCCCAGUGCCACACCUCCACAGUUCCUGAACACCUCCAGGGAUGGUGACUCUACCACCUCCCUGGGCAGGCUGUUCCAAUGCAUUACCACUCUGUCUGAGAAUAUAUCUUUGUUAUCCUUUAUUUUAGGUCAGGGUACAGUUUUAGUGCAGGACUGACCAUCCUGUCCCUGAUAGGCAGCUACAGGUCAGCAUCUGUUCCUCAUUGUGCUUCUUUGGACCUUGGCAUCUUUUCCUGCAAUUCCUAAAGACCAUUGGUGACAAUGAUAGCAGUGUUGUGGAAGUGUUCUUAAAUAUUUGGAAUUCUUUCAAAGUUACGCUUAGGUGUUUCUAUUAAUGUGAUCCUGGCUUUUUGCUUGGGUUUGUCUAUACAGGGACAAUCAAGAAAGUUGAUUUAAAUUAACUGAGGGCAGGAGUUUAAAGUGAAUUAGUUAAAUUGCAUUAAACCUCCCAUUUCACAAUUAAAGUGGCCUUAAUAUGACUUAGCCAUGAAAGAGAGGUAAACCAAAUCAAGUCAAAGCCACUUUAAUUCUGACAGUUCCCAUAAAGGGCUGUAAUUAAUCCAGUUUAACUAAUCCCCUUAAAAAUUCAGAUCAACUUUUCUGAGCACCUUCAUGUAAUAAGCUCUUACCACUAAUCUGCACUGAAAUGAUCAUUUUCAUUCAUAAAGUAAAUUCACACCAGCCUUCCUCUGGUGGAAGUCCCAUUGCUGAGGUUUGCACUUGGAUAACAUCAUCAACUGGAAGAGUUGCGUGACUAUAAAUCCAGACCAACUUAACACUUUGUUAAGCCUACCAGCUCCCAGCAACUGUGCUUUCAUAGCACCACACACACACACACACAAAAGACCGCGUCAUUAAUUCCUGUUGGAGAGGAGGACUACGAAGAUGAUCAGAGGGCUGGAACGUCUCUCCUGUGAAGAAACGUUGAGGGAGCUGGGCUUGUUUAACUUGGAGAAGACUGCAGGGAGACCUCAUUGUGGCCUUCCAGUACUUGAAAGGAACUUAUAAGCAGAAAGGAAACUAUUUACAUGUUUUGAUAGUGAUAGGACAAGGUAGAAUGGCUUUAAAAUAAAAGGGGAAAUUUAGGUUAUAUUUUAAGAAAAAAGCCUUUAUUCAGAGGGUAGUGAGGCCCUGGCACAGGCUGCCCAGAGAAACUGUGGAUGCCCCAUCCCUGGAGGUGUUUAAGGCCAGGUUGGAUGGGGCCUGGGACAACCUGAUCUGCUGAGUGGCAACAGUGCCCAUGGUAGGGGGAUUGGAGCUCGAUAGUUUUUAAAGUCCCCUCCAACCUAAGUCAUUCUAUGAUUCUGUGAUUCAAGGAAAAGGAAGAGACAGUGAUGAUGUGCAGUCUCAUGUGUUUCCAUUGGUUAGCACAGAGGUCAGCUAUGGUGGUAAGUAACUGGCAAAAUUUGCAGUGUGCCCUACUGAGGCCCUCUGCACGCAGGCAGGCUAUGAUCAGUCUGUAGUCUGGUUUAGGUGGGAUGAGAACUACACUAGCACAAAAUUGAUUUGCCUGAAUGGGCCUUCACGUGGCAUUAGGACAGAUAGUGAUUUAUUAUCAUUAUCAUGAUUGUUAUUUUUACAUAAACCUAUUAUUUGGCAAGUGUCAGUUCUGACUGGUGUCGCAGCAAAGGACAUAGCUUACAAACAACAAAAAUCAUGGAUAACAUUGUUUGAGAAAAAAAAAAAUAGAAAAAAAAGAAAAAGAAGACUAUUUCACCCAAAUCAGACAUUUAGUCAGUUUGAAAUAUAUCUCAUCAGCGUGCACAUCAAUCUGGCCCAUUAAAUAGUGUGCCCUUCAAUAAUUCCCUCUGCCUUUAUGAACAAUUCCCUCUGCAGCUCAAAUGCUUGAAUAAGGUAUUGCAGCCUCCUUUGCAGCAUGAAUAGGGGUGUUUGACUUUCUCACUUAUGUGCAUGUCCUUCAGCAGGGGGUUCCUUGAGGCACAUAGUGUUCCUUGGCUGGUUACCCUCCUUCUCUGUGCAUCUGCCCGGACAGGGAGAGCCAAAUGCACUUUCCACCAGUUUUUGUUUUUUUUUUUUAAUUUUUUCCAAAACUUGCCUGUCUGCCAGCUUGAAACAUCAUCUUUCCUUUAUUUCUAUUUUAUUUGUUUAUUUUUUGAAGAAUAAACUGGCUAUUCCGAAGUGCCCUUCUCAGUAAAUAACACACGCAACUGCAACAUGCGCUAGCAGCGCUGAACGCAAAUAAAAUAUUCCCAGUGAAAAAAAAAAUGUGUCAGCAUCACCUCCAGUGGAUCAAAAGUCAUGUCAGAGACGAUAUCAGAACAUGAGAAUCUGCUUGCAUAAAACAGCCAAAAGCCUGAAGCCAUCCCAACCUCCUUUAGAAAAGCCAGGAGUCUGCACAGGCAGAGCUGCCGCACAGCAGUGAUGGAUUAAGAGGCAGUGUGUAAUUUCCAGCCAAACUCCUUCAGCUCCUGCCAUCUUCACCUGGAGUUGUUUUCAAACUGUGAAAAGUUUAACUUCAACAUCAUGCUGAAAAUCCUGUGUGACUCAGAGAGUCAGCUCCCAUCAGGUGGAGUUUCCUUUAGGGCAGCAGAAGCAGGAGACAUCCUAUCCUGGCCAGCAACGUAAAUUGGAAGGGAACUUUCUGCACAGAUUUUGCAGGAAACCUAGAUUCAUGGAAUUAAGUAGGUGCAAGGAGAUCAAGAUCAGAGUGAUCUGAGACAUCUGCCUUCAUAUCUCUUCUUGAUCACAGAAAUUUAAAGCGAGCCCAGAGCAUGGGUUAUGAAGAUGCUGGAAAUGAGAUGUUGGAAAUCAAUCCACUUUGAGAUCUAGCAGGAUAUUUUGCUGGAGUGACAAGGCCCUUUCAAAAGCACACACCGCCUCAUGGCUUUAGGAUACUGGAAUAUGAAUAUAUGGUAUGCCAAUGUGUAGUGAUUUCCUACCCAAACAUAAACCAAGAAAAAAUGGCUUCUUGGACUGGACCCAAAGACUGAAUCUGUGCAGGCAGAAUGGGCGGAAAGGACAAAGGUAAGAGUGUAAGUAUGGGUGUGA
Numida meleagris (helmeted guineafowl) is the source of this 5293-nucleotide long non-coding RNA. RefSeq lists it as uncharacterized. Lineage: Eukaryota; Metazoa; Chordata; Aves; Galliformes; Numididae. The transcript is spliced from 3 exons. The record is from RefSeq and is a predicted model, not a curated record.